RNAcentral lists this ribosomal RNA (1646 nucleotides) under Escherichia coli. RNAcentral describes it as "partial 23S ribosomal RNA". It matches the Rfam family "Bacterial large subunit ribosomal RNA", at positions 418 to 2049 of the family's 2925-position model. Lineage: Bacteria; Pseudomonadati; Pseudomonadota; Gammaproteobacteria; Enterobacterales; Enterobacteriaceae. The record is from RNAcentral.
CGGGACACGUGGUAUCCUGUCUGAAUAUGGGGGGACCAUCCUCCAAGGCUAAAUACUCCUGACUGACCGAUAGUGAACCAGUACCGUGAGGGAAAGGCGAAAAGAACCCCGGCGAGGGGAGUGAAAAAGAACCUGAAACCGUGUACGUACAAGCAGUGGGAGCACGCUUAGGCGUGUGACUGCGUACCUUUUGUAUAAUGGGUCAGCGACUUAUAUUCUGUAGCAAGGUUAACCGAAUAGGGGAGCCGAAGGGAAACCGAGUCUUAACUGGGCGUUAAGUUGCAGGGUAUAGACCCGAAACCCGGUGAUCUAGCCAUGGGCAGGUUGAAGGUUGGGUAACACUAACUGGAGGACCGAACCGACUAAUGUUGAAAAAUUAGCGGAUGACUUGUGGCUGGGGGUGAAAGGCCAAUCAAACCGGGAGAUAGCUGGUUCUCCCCGAAAGCUAUUUAGGUAGCGCCUCGUGAAUUCAUCUCCGGGGGUAGAGCACUGUUUCGGCAAGGGGGUCAUCCCGACUUACCAACCCGAUGCAAACUGCGAAUACCGGAGAAUGUUAUCACGGGAGACACACGGCGGGUGCUAACGUCCGUCGUGAAGAGGGAAACAACCCAGACCGCCAGCUAAGGUCCCAAAGUCAUGGUUAAGUGGGAAACGAUGUGGGAAGGCCCAGACAGCCAGGAUGUUGGCUUAGAAGCAGCCAUCAUUUAAAGAAAGCGUAAUAGCUCACUGGUCGAGUCGGCCUGCGCGGAAGAUGUAACGGGGCUAAACCAUGCACCGAAGCUGCGGCAGCGACGCUGAUGCGUUGUUGGGUAGGGGAGCGUUCUGUAAGCCUGUGAAGGUGUGCUGUGAGGCAUGCUGGAGGUAUCAGAAGUGCGAAUGCUGACAUAAGUAACGAUAAAGCGGGUGAAAAGCCCGCUCGCCGGAAGACCAAGGGUUCCUGUCCAACGUUAAUCGGGGCAGGGUGAGUCGACCCCUAAGGCGAGGCCGAAAGGCGUAGUCGAUGGGAAACAGGUUAAUAUUCCUGUACUUGGUGUUACUGCGAAGGGGGGACGGAGAAGGCUAUGUUGGCCGGGCGACGGUUGUCCCGGUUUAAGCGUGUAGGCUGGUUUUCCAGGCAAAUCCGGAAAAUCAAGGCUGAGGCGUGAUGACGAGGCACUACGGUGCUGAAGCAACAAAUGCCCUGCUUCCAGGAAAAGCCUCUAAGCAUCAGGUAACAUCAAAUCGUACCCCAAACCGACACAGGUGGUCAGGUAGAGAAUACCAAGGCGCUUGAGAGAACUCGGGUGAAGGAACUAGGCAAAAUGGUGCCGUAACUUCGGGAGAAGGCACGCUGAUAUGUAGGUGAAGCGACUUGCUCGUGGAGCUGAAAUCAGUCGAAGAUACCAGCUGGCUGCAACUGUUUAUUAAAAACACAGCACUGUGCAAACACGAAAGUGGACGUAUACGGUGUGACGCCUGCCCGGUGCCGGAAGGUUAAUUGAUGGGGUCAGCGCAAGCGAAGCUCUUGAUCGAAGCCCCGGUAAACGGCGGCCGUAACUAUAACGGUCCUAAGGUAGCGAAAUUCCUUGUCGGGUAAGUUCCGACCUGCACGAAUGGCGUAAUGAUGGCCAGGCUGUCUCCACCCGAGACUCAGUGAAAUUGAACUC